GACGAACCGAGCGAACGUUGUUCGGAAUCACUGGGCUUAAAGGGCGCGUAGGCGGGCUGUCAAGUCUGGGGUGAAAUCCCACGGCUCAACCGUGGAACUGCCUUAGAUACUUACGGCCUCGAGGGAGAUAGGGGCGAGCGGAACUGUGAGUGGAGCGGUGAAAUGCGUUGAUAUUCACAGGAACUCCGGUGGCGAAGGCGGCUCGCUGGAUCUUUUCUGACGCUGAGGCGCGAAAGCUAGGGGGAGCAAACGGGG
RNAcentral lists this ribosomal RNA (255 nucleotides) under uncultured bacterium. RNAcentral describes it as "partial 16S ribosomal RNA". It matches the Rfam family "Bacterial small subunit ribosomal RNA", at positions 524 to 777 of the family's 1533-position model. The record is from RNAcentral.